GGUCCCCAGGCCCCACCAGGGGGGAUGAGGGGUGGGUAGGUGGGGGGAGCUCUGUGCCCCCCGGCUCGCCCGGGCCCGGCGGGCAGAACCCCAGCGCCGUUCCGCACUCGCGGAAUCCCGCCGGGGCGGCAGCGGGACCCUCCGCGGCGGCGGGGCGAGGCAGAGCCCUGGCACCCCCGGCCCGCUCCCGAGCUAAAAAAUGACCUUUCCCUGCAUAAUUUUGGAGGUAACCUAGCUGCGUAAUUAUAUUUGCACUUACAGAAGACUGCAUCAGAGUUCCCUUAUUGGUUUGAAAUUCCAUUAAAUAUAUUGCAAGAGCUCCUAGGUUAAGCUUGAUUUAAAUUUGCAUACAUUUUCAUAUAUUUAGCAGAAAUAAAAGAAGGCUUGCAGCUACCAGAAAGUCAUUAAGGCAUUAGUUUCUCUGAGAAGACAGAUCUGAAGAAAAUUCAAGAAAAUGAGAAAAUAGAUAUAAAUAAGAGGGCAAGUUACAUUUUAUAUCUCAUGUGGAAGCAGACAUCGUUACAGAUGCAGAGCGGAGAUGUCAGUGAGAACUGCCAACAUGACCGGGUUGUAUGAAUUGAAGAAUAUAUAUUUGCAAACUGAGGUGGUUUUUACCUUUCCCUGCUUGGAUGUUCAUGGCAUGUUGCUGGCAAACAUCUAAAAUUCAGUUUCCAAAGUUGUA
This is a long non-coding RNA of Pezoporus flaviventris, 682 nucleotides long. RefSeq lists it as uncharacterized. The record is from RefSeq and is a predicted model, not a curated record. The transcript has 3 exons. Lineage: Eukaryota; Metazoa; Chordata; Aves; Psittaciformes; Psittacidae.